UGAAACCAACUGUUAAUUAAC
Molecule: non-coding RNA, 21 nt
Filed under: Caenorhabditis elegans
Lineage: Eukaryota; Metazoa; Nematoda; Chromadorea; Rhabditida; Rhabditidae
Source: RNAcentral